This 76-nucleotide transfer RNA is filed under the name Phlebopus portentosus. RNAcentral describes it as "tRNA-Pro". The record is from RNAcentral. Lineage: Eukaryota; Fungi; Basidiomycota; Agaricomycetes; Boletales; Boletinellaceae.
AUGAUAGAAGAAGAACGGGUUUACAUUCACUCCUUUUGGGAAGGAGAGCUAGCGUGUUCGAGUCGCGCCUAUCAUA